This 755-nucleotide ribosomal RNA is filed under the name uncultured bacterium. RNAcentral's name for it is "bacterial SSU rRNA". It matches the Rfam family "Bacterial small subunit ribosomal RNA", at positions 28 to 776 of the family's 1533-position model. The record is from RNAcentral.
AUUGAACGCUGGCGGCAGGCUUAACACAUGCAAGUCGAGCGGAAACGAUACUAGCUUGCUAGUAGGCGUCGAGCGGCGGACGGGUGAGUAACACUUAGGAAUCUACCUAGUAGUGGGGGAUAGCACGGGGAAACUCGUAUUAAUACCGCAUACGACCUACGGGAGAAAGGGGGCAGUUUACUGCUCUCGCUGUUAGAUGAGCCUAAGUCGGAUUAGCUAGAUGGUGGGGUAAAGGCCUACCAUGGCGACGAUCUGUAGCUGGUCUGAGAGGAUGAUCAGCCACACCGGGACUGAGACACGGCCCGGACUCCUACGGGAGGCAGCAGUGGGGAAUAUUGGACAAUGGGGGCAACCCUGAUCCAGCCAUGCCGCGUGUGUGAAGAAGGCCUUUUGGUUGUAAAGCACUUUAAGCAGUGAAGAAGACCAUAUGGUUAAUACCCAUAUGCGAUGACAUUAGCUGCAGAAUAAGCACCGGCUAACUCUGUGCCAGCAGCCGCGGUAAUACAGAGGGUGCAAGCGUUAAUCGGAAUUACUGGGCGUAAAGGGAGCGUAGGUGGCUCUAUAAGUCAGAUGUGAAAUCCCCGGGCUCAACCUGGGAACUGCAUCUGAUACUGUUGAGCUAGAGUAUGUGAGAGGAAGGUAGAAUUCCAGGUGUAGCGGUGAAAUGCGUAGAGAUCUGGAGGAAUACCGAUGGCGAAGGCAGCCUUCUGGCAUAAUACUGACACUGAGGCUCGAAAGCGUGGGUAGCAAACAGG